UUUUUAUUACUUCUGCCUAAUGCACACCUAUAUAUAUAUAUAUAUAUAUAGGUGUGCAUUAGGCAGAAGUAAUAAAUA
This is a non-coding RNA of Pelobates cultripes (western spadefoot toad), 78 nucleotides long. The record is from the annotation of a GenBank genome assembly. Lineage: Eukaryota; Metazoa; Chordata; Amphibia; Anura; Pelobatidae.